Molecule: ribosomal RNA, 440 nt
Filed under: uncultured bacterium
Lineage: Bacteria
Description: bacterial SSU rRNA
Rfam family: Bacterial small subunit ribosomal RNA
Source: RNAcentral
CCUACGGGGGGCAGCAGUGGGGAAUAUUGCACAAUGGGGGAAACCCUGAUGCAGCGACGCCGCGUGGAGGAAGAAGGUCUUCGGAUUGUAAACUCCUGUUGUUGGGGAAAAGAAGGAUGGUACCCAACAAGGAAGUGACGGCUAACUACGUGCCAGCAGCCGCGGUAAAACGUAGGUCACGAGCGUUGUCCGGAAUUACUGGGUGUAAAGGGAGCGCAGGCGGGUAUGCAAGUUGGGAGUGAAAUACAUGGGCUCAACCCAUGAACUGCUCUCAAAACUGUGUAUCUUGAGUAGUGCAGAGGUAGGCGGAAUUCCCGGUGUAGCGGUGGAAUGCGUAGAUAUCGGGAGGAACACCAGUGGCGAAGGCGGCCUACUGGGCACCAACUGACGCUGAGGCUCGAAAGUGUGGGUAGCAAACAGGAUUAGAUACCCGGGUAGUC